This is a non-coding RNA of Triticum aestivum (bread wheat), 115 nucleotides long. Lineage: Eukaryota; Viridiplantae; Streptophyta; Magnoliopsida; Poales; Poaceae. The record is from Rfam.
UAUGUAUUCUCUCCGUUCGAAAUUACUUGUCUUAAAAAUAGAUAUAUCUAGAACUAAAAUAAGUCUAGAUACAUCCAUUUUUGUGACAAGUAAUUUCGAACGGAGGGAAUACUUG